RNAcentral lists this ribosomal RNA (457 nucleotides) under Streptococcus sp. oral taxon 061. RNAcentral describes it as "bacterial SSU rRNA". It matches the Rfam family "Bacterial small subunit ribosomal RNA", at positions 28 to 469 of the family's 1533-position model. Lineage: Bacteria; Bacillati; Bacillota; Bacilli; Lactobacillales; Streptococcaceae. The record is from RNAcentral.
GAUGAACGCUGGCGGCGUGCCUAAUACAUGCAAGUAGAACGCUGAAGCUUGGUGCUUGCACCGAGCGGAUGAGUUGCGAACGGGUGAGUAACGCGUAGGUAACCUGCCUGGUAGCGGGGGAUAACUAUUGGAAACGAUAGCUAAUACCGCAUAACAGUAGAUAUUGCAUGAUAUCUGCUUGAAAGGUGCAAUUGCACCACUACCAGAUGGACCUGCGUUGUAUUAGCUAGUUGGUGAGGUAACGGCUCACCAAGGCGACGAUACAUAGCCGACCUGAGAGGGUGAUCGGCCACACUGGGACUGAGACACGGCCCAGACUCCUACGGGAGGCAGCAGUAGGGAAUCUUCGGCAAUGGACGGAAGUCUGACCGAGCAACGCCGCGUGAGUGAAGAAGGUUUUCGGAUCGUAAAGCUCUGUUGUAAGAGAAGAACGAGUGUGAGAGUGGAAAGUUCACAC